UACGUAGGUGGCGAGCGUUGUCCGGAUUUACUGGGCGUAAAGGGAGCGUAGGCGGAUUUUUAAGUGAGAUGUGAAAUACUCGGGCUCAACUUGAGUGCUGCAUUUCAAACUGGAAGUCUAGAGUGCAGGAGAGGAGAAUGGAAUUCCUAGUGUAGCGGUGAAAUGCGUAGAGAUUAGGAAGAACACCAGUGGCGAAGACGAUUCUCUGGACUGUAACUGACGCUGAGGCUCGAAAGCGUGGGGAGCAAACAGG
This 253-nucleotide ribosomal RNA is filed under the name uncultured bacterium. RNAcentral describes it as "partial 16S ribosomal RNA". It matches the Rfam family "Bacterial small subunit ribosomal RNA", at positions 524 to 776 of the family's 1533-position model. The record is from RNAcentral.